Molecule: ribosomal RNA, 478 nt
Filed under: uncultured bacterium
Lineage: Bacteria
Description: partial 16S ribosomal RNA
Rfam family: Bacterial small subunit ribosomal RNA
Source: RNAcentral
GACGAACGCUGGCGGCGUGCUUAACACAUGCAAGUCGAACGGUAAGGCCCUUCGGGGUACACGAGUGGCGAACGGGUGAGUAACACGUGGGUGAUCUGCCCUGCACUUCGGGAUAAGCCUGGGAAACUGGGUCUAAUACCGGAUAGGACCACUGCCUGCAUGGGUGGGGGGGGAAAGCUUUUGCGGUGUGGGAUGGGCCCGCGGCCUAUCAGCUUGUUGGUGGGGGGAUGGCCUACCAAGGCGACGACGGGGAGCCGGCCUGAGAGGGUGACCGGACACACUGGGACUGAGAUACGGCCCAGACUCCUACGGGAGGCAGCAGUGGGGAAUAUUGCACAAUGGGCGCAAGCCUGAUGCAGCGACGCCGCGUGAGGGAUGACGGCCUUCGGGUUGUAAACCUCUUUCAGCACCGACGAAGCGCAAGUGACGGUAGGUGCAGAAGAAGGACCGGCCAACUACGUGCCAGCAGCCGCCGUAA